Mirounga angustirostris (Northern elephant seal) is the source of this 3231-nucleotide RNA transcript. It is a transcript of the gene named fucosyltransferase 11, with no coding region annotated. NCBI's taxonomy places the organism in Eukaryota, Metazoa, Chordata, Mammalia, Carnivora, Phocidae. The transcript is spliced from 4 exons. The record is from RefSeq and is a predicted model, not a curated record.
UGCUGCCGGGAGGAGUUGGGAGCGGGGGGGAAGGGGGCAGCUGCCAGUGGACAUGGCGGCGGGCCGCAGCAGGGCUGUGUUUGCCGUCUUUGGCGUGCUUAGUGUUUGUGCGGUCAGCGGCUCUGGGCCCGUGGCUGAGGGGGACACGGGCGGGGAGGCGGAGUGGACGGAGCCUUGGGAUGGUGCGGUUUUCCGGCCGCCCUCAGCGCUGGGCGCGGUGGGGGUGGCGCGCAGUCCGGGGACCCCCCGGCCAGGGAGGGAGGAGGCGGUGGACUUGCCCGUGCUGCUGUGGUGGAGCCCAGGGCUAUUUCCCCACUUCCCUGGCGACUCGGAGCGCAUCGAGUGCGCGCGCGGUGCGUGCGUGGCGUCCCGGGACCGAUGGGUGCGGGGGCACUCGCGGACGCGCGCGCUGCUCUUCUACGGCACUGACUUUCGCGCGUCGGAGGCGCCGCUGCCGCGCCUGGCACAUCAGAGCUGGGCGCUCCUGCACGAGGAGUCGCCCCUCAACAACUUCGUGCUGAGUCACGGUCCGGGCAUCCGCCUCUUCAAUCUCACUGCCACCUUCAGCCGCCAUUCUGACUACCCGCUGCCGCUGCAGUGGCUGCCCGGGACCGCUUACCUGCGCCGCGCCGCGCCUCCGCUACAGGAGCGCGCGGAGUGGCGCCGUCGCGGCUACGCGCCGCUGCUCUAUCUGCAGUCCCACUGCGACGUGCCUGCGGACCGGGACCGCUACGUGCGCGAGCUGAUGCGUUUCAUCCCGGUGGACUCCUAUGGGAAAUGCCUGCAAAAUCGGGAGCUGCCCACUCCGCGCUUACAGGACACAGCCACAGCUACCACCGAGGAUCCAGAGCUCUUGGCCUUCUUGUCUCGCUACAAGUUCCACUUGGCCCUCGAAAAUGCCAUCUGUGAUGACUACAUGACAGAAAAACUGUGGCGCCCCAUGCAUCUCGGGGCUGUGCCUGUGUAUCGCGGCUCUCCCUCUGUGAGGGACUGGAUGCCCAACAAUCACUCCAUCAUCCUCAUUGAUGACUUUGAGUCACCUCAGAAGUUGGCAGAAUUUAUUGACUUUCUGGACAAGAAUGAUGAGGAAUACAUGAAAUACUUGGCAUAUAAGCAACCUGGGGGCAUCACCAACCAGUUCCUUCUGGAUAGUCUGAAGCAUCGGGAGUGGGGAGUGAAUGAUCCUUUGCUGCCUAACUACCUCAAUGGUUUUGAGUGUUUCGUCUGUGACCAUGAACUGGCUCGGCUGGAGGCCGAGAAAGCCCACGCAGCCUCUCCUGGGGACAUCCCUGGCCCUGAACCUCACAUUGCCCAGCCCUCACACAUGGACUGCCCGGUGCCCACACCUGGCUUUGGCAGUGUGGAAGAGAUUCCUGAGAAUGACAGCUGGAAGGAGAUGUGGCUGCAAGAUUACUGGCAAGGUCUGGACCAGGGGGAAGCUCUCACUGCCAUGAUCCACAACAAUGAGACAAAGCAGAUGAAAUUUUGGGAUUACCUACAUGAGAUCUUCAUGAAAAGGAACCAAAAUCUCUAAUUACCCUUGCAAGAGCCUUUAACUUGGUAGAGCUAAGGAGAUGGAAGUCCUUAUUCUACUAUGGGACAUGAGGGGCACCUGCUGCACAACCUUAAUGAACACUGUCUUAUCAUGAGUUCAAGGAAUUCCAGUUUCAGCCACUGAUAUUUUAUUUUAAUGAUGUGUAUCCAGUGUCUCAGCUUGUGGUAAUAGGGCCUGUCCUCAAGGAGAGAUGGAAGCCUCCAGUUCUUGGGAUUAGUGGGAAGCAAAAGCCUGAAACACCCACUUGUUUCAAAGUGCUGAUUGAACAGAAUUUUAAAAGAUCUGCAUCUUUUUCUAGCCAUUCCAUCCUCUCAACUGUGAUUGGAACAACUCCUUGGUACUUGUCUAAGAAUGAGGCACUGGGAUUCAGUAAGACAGGGUCCCCUCUCUAAUGGUGCUUACAUUUUAAAUGGAUGUCGCUGGUAAGGAAGGCCGUAAAUAAACAAUAAAAAUGAACAAGGUAAUUCAGACUGUGAUAUAUGCUAUGAAAAAAAUGUAACAGCUUGAUGAUGGGGGGAUGGGGGACGUAAGGGAAGGCCUCUCUGACAGGAACUGAGACUCGACAGAAGAAAAAGAACCAGUCAUGCAGAGAUCCAAUGGGAAGAUUAAACAUCUGUGAUAAAUGAUUUUAAUUUUAGCACACUAAAUUUUACAUAACCAAGUAAAUAUUGCUCCUCCAAAGUAGUCCUCUUAUGAACUAAAAGCUGUUCAAGUUACGCUUCCAUUACCAGAAACAUUUCUUGAAGCUCAUUUCUAAAUGCCCUGAGAAUCCCUGGCACAUUUUUGAGUUUUGUAAACAGCUAAAAGUCACUUAGAACCAAGUCUGAUGAAGCUAGGCAUCACAACUGAAGGGUCAAGUCUAUUAAUAAGAAUGAUACCACCAAGUAUCUUCACAGGAUUGGAGAGAAGAUUAAAUUAGACGAUAAAUGCCAAAGUGCUUAAAACUCACCCUACCCAAUGAGAUCAUUACAAAGGAGAGCAAAGAAUAUAUAGUAGAAUAUAUAAGUAGUAGCAACUUUAUUUUUACUUAUUUAUUUUUAAGUAGGCUCCACACCCAUCGUGGAGCCCAAUGCAGGGCUUGAACUCAAAACCCACAGUUCAAGACCUGAGCUGAGAUCAAAAGUGGGACGCUUAACUGACUGAGCCACCAGGUGCCCCAGUAGUAGCAACUGUUUAAAUGAGCCUAACUUGGGGCGCCUGGGUGGCUCAGUCGGUUAAGCAUCUGCCUUCAGCUCAGGUCAUGAUCUCAGGGUCCUGGGAUCAAGCCCCACAUAGGGCUCCCUGCUCAGCGGGGAAUCUGCUUCUCCCUCUGUGCUCUCCUUCUCUCUCUCUCUUUCUCAAAUAAAUAAAUAAAAAAUCUUAAAAAAAAAAAAAUGAGCCUAACUUUUCUUUACGGUUUUGGGGUGGUUUUAAAGGUCGUAAGAUCCAACAGUUCUUGAAAACUCGUCAAAAUAUAAUAAGAAUCUGUCCCAACCUAACAUCUUAAAGUCUCAUAUUUUGAUUCGCUCCCAUACUCUGCCCUUGCCUAUGUCAAUCAUCCUCUAGUUCAGCCGGCUACCACCAUAAACGAGUGUCCUAUUUAUCGGGUCCUUUCCAGGAUGUUCCCGGCCUAAUACCGCCCGGAGCCCUCAGGGCCCGGUAGCCCACAAAAGAGCGGUCUCGGUCAGCGGACGAGC